This 481-nucleotide ribosomal RNA is filed under the name uncultured bacterium. RNAcentral's name for it is "partial 16S ribosomal RNA". It matches the Rfam family "Bacterial small subunit ribosomal RNA", at positions 28 to 507 of the family's 1533-position model. The record is from RNAcentral.
GACGAACGCUGGCGGCGUGCUUAACACAUGCAAGUCGAACGCUGAAGCUCAGCUUGCUGGGUGGAUGAGUGGCGAACGGGUGAGUAACACGUGAGUAACCUGCCCCCUUCUUUGGGAUAACGCCCGGAAACGGGUGCUAAUACUGGAUAUUCACUGAUCUUCGCAUGGGGGUUGGUGGGAAGGUUUUUUCUGGUGGGGGAUGGGCUCGCGGCCUAUCAGCUUGUUGGUGGGGUGAUGGCCUACCAAGGCUUUGACGGGUAGCCGGCCUGAGAGGGUGACCGGUCACAUUGGGACGGAGAUACGGCCCAGACUCCUACGGGAGGCAGCAGUGGGGAAUAUUGCACAAUGGGCGAAAGCCUGAUGCAGCGACGCCGCGUGAGGGAUGGAGGCCUUCGGGUUGUAAACCUCUUUCGCUCAUGGUCAAGCCGCAACAUUGGUUGUGGUGAGGGUAGUGGGUAAAGAAGCGCCGGCUAACUACGUG